Molecule: ribosomal RNA, 484 nt
Filed under: uncultured organism
Description: bacterial SSU rRNA
Rfam family: Bacterial small subunit ribosomal RNA
Source: RNAcentral
GAUGAACGCUGGCGGCGUGCCUAAUACAUGCAAGUCGAUCGGGUGCAGCAAUGCAUCAGAGGCGAACGGGUGAGUAACACGUAGGUAACCUGCCCUCGAGACUCGGAUACCCAGACGAAAGUUUGGCUAAUACGGGAUAACAACAGAAGAGGCAUCUCUUUUGUUUGAAAGGCGCUUUAUAGCGUCACUCUUGGAUGGACCUGCGGCACAUUAGCUAGUUGGUGAGAUAAUAGCCCACCAAGGCAAGGAUGUGUAGCCGAUCUGAGAGGAUGACCGGCCACAAUGGGACUGAGACACGGCCCAUACUCCUACGGGAGGCAGCAGUAGGGAGUUUUCGGCAAUGGGGGAAACCCUGACCGAGCAACGCCGCGUGAGUGAUGAAGGUCUUCGGAUUGUAAAGCUCUGUUACAGGGGACGAAUGGUCAGCCUAGGAAAUGAGGUUGGCUCGACGGUACCCUGCCAGAAAGUGACGGCUAACUACGUG